GACGAACGCUGGCGGCGUGCUUAACACAUGCAAGUCGAACGGAAAGGCCCUGCUUUUGUGGGGUGCUCGAGUGGCGAACGGGUGAGUAACACGUGAGUAACCUGCCCUUGACUUUGGGAUAACUUCAGGAAACUGGGGCUAAUACCGGAUAGGAGCUCCUGCUGCAUGGUGGGGGUUGGAAAGUUUCGGCGGUUGGGGAUGGACUCGCGGCUUAUCAGCUUGUUGGUGGGGUAGUGGCUUACCAAGGCUUUGACGGGUAGCCGGCCUGAGAGGGUGACCGGCCACAUUGGGACUGAGAUACGGCCCAGACUCCUACGGGAGGCAGCAGUGGGGAAUAUUGCACAAUGGGCGGAAGCCUGAUGCAGCAACGCCGCGUGCGGGAUGACGGCCUUUUGGUUGUAAACCGCUUUCGCCUGUGACGAAGCGUGAGUGACGGUAAUGGGUAAAGAAGCACCGGCUAACUACGUG
Molecule: ribosomal RNA, 468 nt
Filed under: uncultured bacterium
Lineage: Bacteria
Description: partial 16S ribosomal RNA
Rfam family: Bacterial small subunit ribosomal RNA
Source: RNAcentral